Molecule: long non-coding RNA, 1347 nt
Organism: Stomoxys calcitrans (stable fly)
Lineage: Eukaryota; Metazoa; Arthropoda; Insecta; Diptera; Muscidae
Exons: 4
Source: RefSeq, a predicted model, not a curated record
GCAAACAAACAUAAAACAGAAAUCUCCAAAUAAAUUCUGAAUCUGUCUUCUUCUUAUAGGUUAAAAUCUCGGUAUCAGGAAAUUGAAAAGACUGGGUUUGUGUUUGCCAACAAACCAGCCUGUCGGCUAAUCGGCGUGAAACAACGUCCCUACUUGCCGGACUCAACAGGAGAGCCGGUCUAUUGUCCUGAAGAGAGGACUGGCAAACACAAAUUGGGCUAUUGCAGUGCUAUUGAAUGAAAUGGAUGUUUCCUGUUCCAUCUCUAUGGCCACAAGGCUAUGUCGAAGGCCAUCCAUACAUACUGCCUACUACAGACUCAGUGUCGCACAUAAGCAAUGGGCAGGAAACUCUGUCACAAUUAUAUUCUUCGCUUUCCUUGGGGCUUGCGACCAAUGUUGUAUUAAAACAUUAACUGUCGAGACACACAAGUACACUCACAAAGGACACAUCGUAACAGCCACUAUAAAAAAAAAAUGAAACGGUCACCCGAAUUCUCGGGCCCCACGUUGGGCGCCAUUCUUGUCGAGCUCCCGAAGGAACCCUGCUUUGCUUGGAGGGGAGGAAAUGAACUGACGGGCGCUGGCUGCUGGCGUUCGAGCACCGGCUGUGGCUCAGUCGAAAAGGGCGCGGUUCUUGCCAGUUCACCUCCUCCAAAGCAGGUGACAAAAAAAACAAAAAUCAACCAGCUGAUGGAGGGACACUGAUACCUACACAACAACCAUGAACAAUACUAGACAGACACACACUACCAUGUUGACACCACUUAGCAUUCAGCUGGUGUCUGGACGCACCCACCCCACCAUGGUGCCCUCUUGCGUCAUAAUCUAUGAGGACACCCCAAAUACACCUGUUUGUCCUGGACCGCAAUAUGGGUCAUCGAAUCUUCUUUCUGGUCUCGCCUAGUGAUGGCCUUGAUGUCGGAGCUGGGAUUGCCUAGCUGUAGCACCAGUCCUGCAAUGGUACCGACCCUGCUUGUCGUCUACCCUAUUUCCUGUCCGUCCGUCUGAUGGAUGUUGUUGGUCAACGCUAAAACAAGGUGGACAUCUAUGAUGGAGCAAGGGCCCCCACGUACCUUUUACUGAAACCUUCCUGGCCUAUGGAAGUUUUGUGUCAGGUAGCUGUCUGUCCGUCCGUCUAAGUCAAGCGUAUUGUCCUGUUUUAUGUAUGGGAAAAGGGCUCUGAUAGAGGGUACCUUUGGCGUUGUCGGCUGACCAACGCUGUGCUGUUAUCGCCUGGUUGGCUGAUGUUCCAACGUCGGGACAGUGGAGGUGGAGUUUUGGGUUUUUUAAGUAUUUACUUUCUUCGUUUUAUCUUAUUUAUUUACAGAUAACUUAAUUUUCCUUUCU